Molecule: unclassified non-coding RNA, 380 nt
Filed under: soil metagenome
Description: partial contains 5.8S ribosomal RNA, internal transcribed spacer 2, and large subunit ribosomal RNA
Rfam family: 5.8S ribosomal RNA (bases 1-120)
Source: RNAcentral
GAUGAAGAACGCGGUGAAAUGCGAUAAGUAAUGUGAAUUGCAGAAUUCAGUGAAUCAUCGAAUCUUUGAACGCACCUUGCACCCUUUGGCAUUCUGAAGGGUAUGCUCGUUUGAGUGUCAUUGUACUCUCACACUCCCGAUCUUUGCAUUGGGAGCAGUGGACUUGGGUUUGCUGCUUCACCGUCGCUUACCUCAAAUAGGUUAGUGCAACUCUUGGUUGGACAUAGUACGGCGUGAUAAGUGUUCUUCGCCGGUGCCUCGCAAAGAGGGUGGCCGAUCGGGAUGUUGUGCUCCAAACCGUCUUCGGACAAUCUCUGACGACUUGACCUCAAAUCGAGUAAGACUACCCGCUGAACUUAAGCAUAUCAAUAAGCGGAGGA